GUGAACGCUGGCGGCGUGCUUAACACAUGCAAGUCGAACGAUUAAAGCUCACUUCGGUGAGUGUAUAGAGUGGCGAACGGGUGAGUAACACGUGGGAAACCUGCCCCUUUCUUCGGGAUAACUUCGGGAAACCGUUGCUAAUACCGGAUACUCCGGGAUGGUCGCAUGGCCGACCCGGGAAAGCUUUAUGUGGAAAGGGAUGGUCCCGCGGCCCAUUAGCUUGUUGGUGGGGUAAUGGCCUACCAAGGCAAUGAUGGGUAGCCG
Molecule: ribosomal RNA, 264 nt
Filed under: uncultured bacterium
Lineage: Bacteria
Description: partial 16S ribosomal RNA
Rfam family: Bacterial small subunit ribosomal RNA
Source: RNAcentral